AGUGGUUCGAAAACGAGAGGUUUUUGUUGGAGGACAUCUUCAGAUGGGCCGGAUGUAGUCCGUUUUUUUAACUCCUAUGAUAAAAGUUACUUAUUUUACGUUUUGAAUAACUACACCAAAAAACAACAACGAGGAAAGGGUUAAAUUAGGUUUACUGAAAUCACAACGAUUACAGUUACAAUACCCCGAACUGGUGUAGGCCUAUUGCUUCCAUGAGCACUAUUCCCAAAACCUCCUCUUCACUGACUCUCAGACACAUCAGAGCAGUCGACGGACGACAAUGACGGAGGAAAAGCAUGCCAACAACUGUGUAAAAAAAAAAGGUACGAAAAUAACCGGAAGCAUCAUGAAAGGGGUCGUUAUUUUUAUUAUAAAUAUACAUUCGAUUUUGAUGAGUAGAACUGUCUGCAUAAACACAAUGUUUUGUUCUCAUUUUCACAACUCACCAAAGCCUGCCCCAGAGGCCAUGUGAUGCUUUUCGCUACUGUGGAAUCACCACUUAGUUGUUUAAACGAAUCAGACAUGAUAAAGGGAAAAGGGUGGUUUCGUGUUUGGCAUCACCGUGUUUUGGCAUCACCUUCACUUGGACGUGAAGCUUUCUUCCAGGGAGCAGUAUGUGACUGUAUUAAUGUAAUAGAACAGAAGAAAGCCCAAAUACCCUUAAAUCAUCGCCUAUUUAAAUGACAUGUAAUUUUCAAUCAGUUGGCCCAUGUUUGGUGGGAGCAGUUAUACUGUGUAGAGGUAGCUGGAUACGUACAGAGAUGUAGUCGUAACUAGGGAUGGGAAUUGAUAAGAAUUUCACGAUUCCGAUUCCUUAUCGAUUCUCUUAUCGAUUCUCAUUGGGUGAGAAAAUAAGUACAAAUGUGUUUGUUUGCAUUAAAUCUCUUUAAUAUCUGAUCAUAAGUGCGUCUAGUAUUAGGAAAUUGUACAUUUUCAAAUCAAUUGGUCUAGACAAAAAACUAUAUGUUUGGCUUUUUAAGCCCAAAUGCCAUCAUUAUGUGCCAUAUAACUAAAAACACAGACUGAAAACAGUCAAGUAAGACCUUGUGCCUUUUGGAAUGCUAACAGUGCUCAUUUGCAUUCAACUUGUAACAAAAUUCAACUGACAUAAACAAAAUGAAGCAUUGAUUAGACAGAGAUUUAUUAGAUGGGCCUACCUAAUAAACCGUUGGAACACACACGACCGGAAACCAUAGCAACGCCGGUAAACAAACCCCGAGAAGCCCAAUCCCUAUGAGAGCUCCCCACGCUACGGCCAUCCGGAGGCGCACAGA
Gadus macrocephalus (Pacific cod) is the source of this 1274-nucleotide long non-coding RNA. RefSeq lists it as uncharacterized. The record is from RefSeq and is a predicted model, not a curated record. Lineage: Eukaryota; Metazoa; Chordata; Actinopteri; Gadiformes; Gadidae. The transcript has 2 exons.